AUGCUUGCAUUUCACAGAAUACUCACGAGUCAAACUUCAGGAUACUGUGUGAUGCAGCCAUUCUCACGUUCUUCAUCCAAUGUAAGCAGUUGUUGUAGUGGUUUGAGGGAAAAUGAAACAUCUGAGGAAGAGGAGAAUGACAGGGAGCUGACGUGCUCUCCUGAGGGCCCUCCAAAGCAGGAUUCAUUGGUUAGUAUGUGGCUGGAUGAAAGUGACUGCAAACCCACUACAUCCAGCUCACCAGGUAAAAAAGGAAAAAAAAGAAAAAAAAAUCCUUUACUUAAGCAUCUAGAAACAUAUGAUAGGUUGAGCUACAUAAACUUUUGGCAAAAUCUUUUGUAUGCUAUACUGAGGAUAUGAAGAGCAUAGAGAGAUGACAGGUUCAGAGAAAUGAGGUGAGAAGUUAGUAUGUAAACUUUAACAGGAAGGGAAUGGGGCGGAGAGAAAGGUGUUUCAGUAGAAUGAAUAGUAUUGUACGCACUGGAGAAGGAGUUACAGCAGAUUCUAUAUAGUUAAUGUGUUUUUAGGUCUCUGUAGAGUGCAUAUAUCUUGAUGCAUUGGUUAUUGAUAUGACCGCAGUGCCAUAUACC
Molecule: long non-coding RNA, 590 nt
Filed under: Dromaius novaehollandiae (emu)
Lineage: Eukaryota; Metazoa; Chordata; Aves; Casuariiformes; Dromaiidae
Description: lncRNA (ENSDNVG00000014477.1)
Source: RNAcentral